RNAcentral lists this ribosomal RNA (390 nucleotides) under Bacillus cereus. RNAcentral's name for it is "bacterial SSU rRNA". It matches the Rfam family "Bacterial small subunit ribosomal RNA", at positions 558 to 947 of the family's 1533-position model. Lineage: Bacteria; Bacillati; Bacillota; Bacilli; Caryophanales; Bacillaceae. The record is from RNAcentral.
GCGUAAGCGCGCGCAGGUGGUUUCUUAAGUCUGAUGUGAAAGCCCACGGCUCUACCGUGGAGGGUCAUUGGAAACUGGGAGACUUGAGUGCCUUAGAGGAAAGUGGAAUUCCAUGUGUAGCGGUGAAAUGCGUAGAGAUAUGGAGGAACACCAGUGGCGAAGGCGACUUUCUGGUCUGUAACUGACACUGAGGCGCGAAAGCGUGGGGAGCAAACAGGAUUAGAUACCCUGGUAGUCCACGCCGUAAACGAUGAGUGCUAAGUGUUAGAGGGUUUCCGCCCUUUAGUGCUGAAGUUAACGCAUUAAGCACUCCGCCUGGGGAGUACGGCCGCAAGGCUGAAACUCAAAGGAAUUGACGGGGGCCCGCACCAGCGGUGGAGCAUGUGGUUU